CGGGGAUUAGUUCAUCGGCAGAACGCCGGGCUGGGGGUCCGGAUGUAGGGAGUUCAAUUCUCCCAUCCCCGA
This 72-nucleotide transfer RNA is filed under the name bacterium. RNAcentral's name for it is "tRNA-Pro". It matches the Rfam family "tRNA". From Rfam's summary of the family: Transfer RNA (tRNA) molecules are approximately 80 nucleotides in length. Their secondary structure includes four short double-helical elements and three loops (D, anti-codon, and T loops). Further hydrogen bonds mediate the characteristic L-shaped molecular structure. tRNAs have two regions of fundamental functional importance: the anti-codon, which is responsible for specific mRNA codon recognition, and the 3' end, to which the tRNAs corresponding amino acid is attached (by aminoacyl-tRNA synthetases). tRNAs cope with the degeneracy of the genetic code in two manners: having more than one tRNA (with a specific anti-codon) for a particular amino acid; and 'wobble' base-pairing, i.e. permitting non-standard base-pairing at the 3rd anti-codon position. The record is from RNAcentral.